Molecule: ribosomal RNA, 579 nt
Filed under: uncultured bacterium
Lineage: Bacteria
Description: bacterial SSU rRNA
Rfam family: Bacterial small subunit ribosomal RNA
Source: RNAcentral
GGCAGCAGUGGGGAAUUCUGGACAAUGGGGGCAACCCUGAUCCAGCCAUGCCGCGUGAGUGAAGAAGGCCUUCGGGUUGUAAAGCUCUUUCAGCCGGAAAGAAAUCGUGCAGAAUAAUACUCUGUAUGGAUGACGGUACCGGAAGAAGAAGCACCGGCUAACUACGUGCCAGCAGCCGCGGUAAUACGUAGGGUGCGAGCGUUGAUCGGAAUUACUGGGCGUAAAGGGUGCGCAGGCGGCUCUGUAAGUCUGACGUGAAAUCCCCGGGCUUAACCUGGGAACUGCGUUGGAAACUGUAGAGCUAGAGUGUAGCAGAGGGGGGUAGAAUUCCACGUGUAGCAGUGAAAUGCGUAGAGAUGUGGAGGAAUACCGAUGGCGAAGGCAGCCCCCUGGGUCAAUACUGACGCUCAUGCACGAAAGCGUGGGGAGCAAAUAGGAUUAGAUACCCUGGUAGUCCACGCUGUAAACGUUGGGCACUAGGUGUGGGGAGCUAUCGACGCUCUCCGUGCCGCAGCUAACGCAUUAAGUGCCCCGCCUGGGGAGUACGGCCGCAAGGUUGAAACUCAAAGGAAUUGACGG